This 254-nucleotide ribosomal RNA is filed under the name uncultured bacterium. RNAcentral describes it as "partial 16S ribosomal RNA". It matches the Rfam family "Bacterial small subunit ribosomal RNA", at positions 524 to 776 of the family's 1533-position model. The record is from RNAcentral.
CACGUAGGGUGCGAGCGUUGUCCGGAAUUAUUGGGCGUAAAGAGCUCGUAGGCGGUGUGUCGCGUCGGCCGUGAAAACCUGCAGCUUAACUGUGGGCGUGCGGUCGAUACGGGCAUCACUGGAGUUCGGCAGGGGAGACUGGAAUUCCUGGUGUAGCGGUGAAAUGCGCAGAUAUCAGGAGGAACACCGGUGGCGAAGGCGGGUCUCUGGGCCGAUACUGACGCUGAUGAGCGAAAGCGUGGGGAGCGAACAGG